GGGGGGGGCUCGCGGGACGAACCAUCGCUGGAGAAGGGAGGGGAAAGCGCCGUCGGAUGAACGGGCGGGGGGCAGGUCCAGACGGUGCCCGCCGGGGGGUGCAGAAGGAGUCUGCGGGGACCCACAGCACGGGGAGCAGAGCGGUGCCCCCCGCCGCGCCCCCGAGGCUGCUCGGGCCCUUAGGGCUGCUGCUGGUACUGGCCCUCGGUGGCGGUGAAGAAGUCCUCCAGCACGCUCUUCAUGUAGUCAAAGCUGCUGGGAAAUCCUGACCUGGAUACGGGAUCCGGCCGUAGGUGACGAUCUCGGUGAGCAGGAUGCCGAAGGACCAGACGUCCGACUUGAUGGUGAAUGUCCCGUAAUUAAUCGCCUCCGGCGCCGUCCACUUAAUGGGGAAUUUAGCCCCUGAAAAAAACAGCAGGAGGGGAAAAAAUAAAG
Cygnus atratus (black swan) is the source of this 435-nucleotide long non-coding RNA. RefSeq lists it as uncharacterized. The record is from RefSeq and is a predicted model, not a curated record. Lineage: Eukaryota; Metazoa; Chordata; Aves; Anseriformes; Anatidae. The transcript has 3 exons.